RNAcentral lists this unclassified non-coding RNA (1451 nucleotides) under Hevea brasiliensis (rubber tree). Lineage: Eukaryota; Viridiplantae; Streptophyta; Magnoliopsida; Malpighiales; Euphorbiaceae. The record is from RNAcentral.
UUUUGAAAAAAAAAAAAAAAAAAAAACCAUUAUUUUUUUACUCUUAAAUGAUCUCCAUAUAAUUAAUAAGACCCAUUAAACGAUAAACACCAAUCCCAAUAUACUUAAAUCCUCAGUCAGCUUCCCCUUGCUUACAGACUGCAAUCAGGUCCCCUAUGUGACAAUUCCUGUACCUCUUUUAAUUAAUCAAUUUCUCACCUCGACAUUGUCAUCUCCUUGGAUCCUGAUUAGUAGACCAACUAAACAAAAUGUCAGUGAGAAUUAGGGAUUUACUAAUUUUGAUCUCCUUUACUAAGCUUCAACCCAUAAUUCUCCCACAAGUUCUCCCCCCCAUCCCCCAUCAAGUAUCGAAAGCAGCUAUCACUCACUGCAUUUCCAGCAUUAGAAUUUGCUGGUGAACAACCUUCAUUUGCUUGAAGCCUCACUGUUUCUGGUCCUUGUUCGUUGAUCUCACAAUAAUCUCCUCCAGGAUUGUAUAUAGACUCAUUGUUUUGGAAGUAACAACAGCCUCUUGAAUUCUCCUUGCGUUUCUUAUUGCUACCCUCCUUGGUUUUCCUUGUAUAAUUGUUGAUGCUAUCCCAUUUCUCCUUGCACAUUAAGGAACUCCUUUCAUAGCCCACACAAGCCAUCUUCGCUGCUACUUCCUCCCAUAAAGCCUCCUCCUCCAGGCACCCGCUUUGCUGAAACCUUGAUUCCAUGUUGCUUCUCAAUUGCAUUAGUCUUGUAAAUUCAGCCUCUGUCCAGCUAUCACAUUUAAGGCUGUUGUGUGCUGUUUCACUUCUAUUUUCAAUCCCAUUUUCGCUUUGAUUUCGAAUCUCGGCCCUUAUCAGUUCUUCAGGAGACGAAGCAUUCGCUUCUCUUCCUGUUAGUCUUCGCAAAGCUUCCAUUAAAGCAGCAUCGCGAGCCUCGAUCCAGGCUCGCUCCUUAGCCCAAAACUUGUGUUCUCUAUCUAUCCUCGCAGCUUCUUGUUUCCUCCAUUCUUCCUCCCUGAAAAUUCUCUCUUGCUCCUUUUGCUCGAGGGUCUUUGUCAAUUUCUCCAACCAUGCCUCUUGCCUCUCAAUUAGCUUCAUCAUCUGCGAAUCGAUAAAGUCUUUUAUCUUUGCCUUCCAGUUCUUUCCAUCUCUUCUCUUUCUCCUCUUUUCCGUUGAAUCAUUCUCCACUAAUGUAGCAGUACUUAGAUCAUUAUCCUCAGAAGAAGAAGUAUCGAAUUCGGAGGAGUUGGAGAGGCUAAGACUAUCACAAAACUUUUGAGAAUGAAAGAUCUCCUGGUUUGCUUGAGUAGAGGUGCUGGCAACAGUGUGAAAUCGAAGAUUAUUUCCAAUAAAUUGGGUUUCUGGGACUGAGGCAGGAUUGCUUGUCUCUCCAUAGAGAGCUUCCAGUUGCCUAAAGAAUCUAUAGUGCUUGCCAUCUUGUCUUCCUGCCUUUCCUUCCUUAGUCUUCUUGUAGUACUU